AGUUUGAUCCUGGCUCAGGAUGAACGCUAGCUACAGGCUUAACACAUGCAAGUCGAGGGGCAGCAUGAUCAAAGCUUGCUUUGGUUGAUGGCGACCGGCGCACGGGUGAGUAACGCGUAUCCAACCUUCCCCUUAGUAGGGCAUAGCCCGUAGAAAUGCGGAUUAAUACCCUAUGUUCUUCGUCGAGGACAUCUGAAAUGAAGCAAAGGUUUACCGCUAAGGGAUGGGGAUGCGUCUGAUUAGGUAGUCGGCGGGGUAACGGCCCACCGAGCCAUCGAUCAGUAGGGGUUCUGAGAGGAAGGUCCCCCCACAUUGGAACUGAGACACGGUCCAAACUCCUACGGGAGGCAGCAGUGAGGAAUAUUGGUCAAUGGGCGAGAGCCUGAACCAGCCAAGUAGCGUGCAGGAAGACGGCCCUAUGGGUUGUAAACUGCUUUUAUAUGGGGAUAAAGUCGCCUACGUGUAGGUGUUUGUAGGUACCAUAUGAAUAAGGACCGGCUAAUUCCGUGCC
This 511-nucleotide ribosomal RNA is filed under the name uncultured organism. Its description in RNAcentral is "SSU rRNA". It matches the Rfam family "Bacterial small subunit ribosomal RNA", at positions 10 to 509 of the family's 1533-position model. The record is from RNAcentral.